GCCCAGACUCCUACGGGAGGCAGCAGUGGGGAAUCUUCCGCAAUGGGCGAAAGCCUGACGGAGCAAUGCCGCGUGAGUGAUGAAGGAAUUCGUUCCGUAAAGCUCUUUUGUUUAUGACGAAUGUGCAGGUUGUGAAUAAUGACUUGUAAUGACGGUAGUAAACGAAUAAGCCACGGCUAACUACGUGCCAGCAGCCGCGGUAAUACGUAGGUGGCGAGCGUUGUCCGGAAUUAUUGGGCGUAAAGAGCAUGUAGGCGGUUUUUUAAGUCUGGAGUGAAAAUGCGGGGCUCAACCCCGUAUGGCUCUGGAUACUGGAAGACUUGAGUGCAGGAGAGGAAAGGGGAAUUCCCAGUGUAGCGGUGAAAUGCGUAGAUAUUGGGAGGAACACCAGUGGCGAAGGCGCCUUUCUGGACUGUGUCUGACGCUGAGAUGCGAAAGCCAGGGUAGCGAACGGGAUUAGAUACCCCGGUAGUCCUGGCCGUAAACGAUGGGUACUAGGUGUAGGAGGUAUCGACCCCUUCUGUGCCGGAGUUAACGCAAUAAGUACCCCGCCUGGGGAGUACGUCCGCAAGGAUGAAACUCAAAGGAAUUGACGGGGGCCCGCACAAGCGGUGGAGUAUGUGGUUUAAUUCGACGCAACGCGAAGAACCUUACCAAGGCUUGACAUUGAAUGACCGCUUCAGAGAUGGAGCUUUCCCUUCGGGGACAUGAAAACAGGUGGUGCAUGGCUGUCGUCAGCUCGUGUCGUGAGAUGUUGGGUUAAGUCCCGCAACGAGCGCAACCCCUAUCCUAUGUUACCAGCGGGUAAUGCCGGGGACUCAUAGGAGACUGCCAAGGACAACUUGGAGGAAGGCGGGGAUGACGUCAAGUCAUCAUGCCCCUUAUGUCUUGGGCUACACACGUACUACAAUGGUCGGCAACAGAGGGAAGCAAAGCCGUGAGGCAGAGCAAACCCCAGAAACCCGAUCUCAGUUCGGAUUGCAGGCUGCAACUCGCCUGCAUGAAGUCGGAAUCGCUAGUAAUCGCAGGUCAGCAUACUGCGGUGAAUACGUUCCCGGGCCUUGUACACACCGCCCGUCACACCACGAAAGUUGGUAACACCCGAAGCCGGUGGGGUAACCGUAAGGAGCCAGCCGUCUAAGGUGGGGCCGAUGAUUGGGGUGAAGUCGUAACAAGUUAGCCGUAUCGGAAGGUGCGGCUG
RNAcentral lists this ribosomal RNA (1201 nucleotides) under human gut metagenome. RNAcentral describes it as "bacterial SSU rRNA". It matches the Rfam family "Bacterial small subunit ribosomal RNA", at positions 329 to 1520 of the family's 1533-position model. The record is from RNAcentral.